RNAcentral lists this ribosomal RNA (484 nucleotides) under uncultured bacterium. RNAcentral describes it as "partial 16S ribosomal RNA". It matches the Rfam family "Bacterial small subunit ribosomal RNA", at positions 30 to 507 of the family's 1533-position model. The record is from RNAcentral.
AUUGAACGCUGGCGGCAGGCCUAACACAUGCAAGUCGAGCGGAUGAAGGGAGCUUGCUCCUGGAUUCAGCGGCGGACGGGUGAGUAAUGCCUAGGAAUCUGCCUGGCAGUGGGGGAUAACGUCCGGAAACGGGCGCUAAUACCGCAUACGUCCUGAGGGAGAAAGUGGGGGAUCUUCGGACCUCACGCCAUCAGAUGAGCCUAGGUCGGAUUAGCUAGUUGGUGGGGUAAAGGCCUACCAAGGCGACGAUCCGUAACUGGUCUGAGAGGAUGAUCAGUCACACUGGAACUGAGACACGGUCCAGACUCCUACGGGAGGCAGCAGUGGGGAAUAUUGGACAAAGGGCGAAAGCCUGAUCCAGCCAUGCCGCGUGUGUGAAGAAGGUCUUCGGAUUGUAAAGCACUUUAAGUUGGGAGGAAGGGCAGUAAGUUAAUACCUUGCUGUUUUGACGUUACCAACAGAAUAAGCACCGGCUAACUUCGUG